This is an RNA transcript of Daucus carota subsp. sativus, 2711 nucleotides long. RefSeq lists it as uncharacterized. NCBI's taxonomy places the organism in Eukaryota, Viridiplantae, Streptophyta, Magnoliopsida, Apiales, Apiaceae. The record is from RefSeq and is a predicted model, not a curated record. The transcript has 10 exons.
GUCGUGCGUAUACUUGGCCCAUCUGGUUUAGUUUCUCAAUUGGCUCUGUACGAAAUUACUCUCAAAUCUCAAUUGCUCGAGCGAAUCUCUCAGUGAUUAAUCUCUCAGCACUCAAUCUCUCAGCGCUCAAUCCCUCAGCGCUCUAUCAAUCUCAAUCUCCCAGGUGCUCAAUUUAAUCGCUGGGUUUGCUGCAAAACUAGGGUUCUUUUUGUCGAUUGGGAAAUAUCUCUAGGUCUGCUGCUGCUGGGUUUGGUUACUCUGAAGAUGGACUUCGUAUACAUGAUUAUCAGCUUGUAGUUCAGAAUGUUGUCAAGAAAGAUUCUGGUAAGUGUCUGAUAGAGUCGAUUUGUAAUUUUUUAUUCCUAGACUAACUUACUGAUAAGGAUCAGGAUUUUGCCUUACGUAAUCAGAAGAAUACAUAUGUAUCGAUUUGAAUAAUACACACUUAAAUUUAUGAAUACUAUUUCAAGAGCCAUCUUGAUGUGCUUUAUCCUGAUCUGAAACACCCUGUGCAAGAUGGCUCCAAACUUUUGACUGUAGUAAGUCACCACGACAGCCAAGGCCAAAGAAAUCAGAGCCUGAUGAUAGUAAAGGGGUUGACCCAGUUGGUUUCCUUGCUAAAUUUAACAUUUUAGAUAAACCCUUUGCUCAAUUCCUCCGAGAAAGGUAUUUAAAUAUUUUCACAUUUCAGCAAAUACGUCGUAUUGUGCUUUUUAAUCAUUUCUUACUUUUGAUUGACAGGCAUAAGUCUUUGAAGGAUUUAAAAGAUGAAAUUCUCAAACGCCACAUGAAUUUAAGUGAGAUGGUUACUGGAUUUCAGAUAUUGGGCAUGCACCAGAAUGUUCAUCAUCGGGUGGAUUUUAUGGAAUGGGCUCCAGGUGCUCGGUACUGUGCCAUUGUCGGUGAUUUUAAUGAGGAAGAAAGGCAUGGUUGAAGAAGUAUAUACCUGGUAUUCCUCAUGGCAGCAAAUACAGAGUGUAUUUUAACACCCCUAGUGGACCUAUUGAAAGGGUUCCUGCUUGGGCUACUUACGUGCUUCCAGAUGCAGAUGGAAACCAAGCUUAUGCAGUCCACUGGGAACCGUCUCCUGAGUGUGCAUAUAGUUGGAAACACGAACAUCCCAAAGCACCAAAAGCUUUGCGUAUCUACGAGUGUCAUGUCGAAAUUAGUGGGCAGGAGCCAAAAGUUGCCUCUUUCAAUGAUUUUAUUGAGCAUGUCCUCCCCCACGUUAAAGAAGCUGGAUACAAUGCAAUUCAGUUGUUUGGAGUUGUUGAGCACAAAGAUUAUUUUACUCUUGGAUACAGGGUGAUUUGGAUUACAAGUUGUUUCUUUCUUUACUUUGUUCAUGGAUUUUGUGCAAUAAAUCACACACUUUACAACAUUCACUCUGAACAACAGAUAGUUGUUAUAUUUUCUUUUGGAGCUAUAAUUUAUUAUAUGAAAAGUGUUUGCCAUCGAGUUUCAGACAGGAAACCCUUCUGCAUAAACUUUCCAUCUCUUAAAAUAGUCAAAUGUAGCUUCUAUUAUAGUUUUAACUAAUAUUCUUCUAAAAGCACGUAUAUUGAUCACUUGAUCAUGUAUAUAUGGUUUAUUUAGCAGUUCCUAAGAGCAUCUCCAAUAGACUCUUAGCUCCCUCCUCAUAAAUAUUAUAAAAAAAUAAUUCCUAGUAAGAUAGUGUAGGUUCAUCUCCAACAAUACUCUUUAAACUUCCUCCUUAACUAUUAUUUUAGAAUUAAAAGUACAUUGAAGUUAUAAGAGGACAAAUAGGAAAGAGAGAGAAAGAAAGUGGAGAGAUUAUUAUAGUAUAAAAUGUAAGUUAAGAGCUAGUUGUGGCUCUUAAAAAUAAAGAAAGAAGCGGGGCUCUUAAUGUUUUGAGGUGCAACUAAGAGUCUAUUGGAGUUGCAUCUUCACUCCUCUUCUUUAUAUUUUGAGUUAAGAGCUCAAAUAAAGAGCCUAUUGGAGAUGCUCUAAAUUCAAUAUCUAUUGAAAACUAUAAUGUCCACAAUCACACUGACUGCCAAGUAUUUUCCUCAGUGUAGCACAGAACAAUUCUUUGUAUAUGUAAUAUUAAAUUAAUUUUAUAUAUAAUAAUUCUACUGCUACUUUAGGUGACAAAUUUAUAUGCUGUUAGCAGCCGCUAUGGCACACCUGACGACUUCAAGCGUUUGGUGGAUGAAGCACAUGGUCUUGGACUCCUUGUAUUUCCAGACAUUGUUCAUUCGUACUCUGCUGCUGACGAGAUGGUUGAAUUGUCCUUGUUUGAUGGUUCAAAUGACUACUACUUUCAUACUGUGUCCUCAACAAGAAGGAGGUACAGAGUGCGGUUUAUUUGUUAUGAGGUACAUGCAUGAAAAUAUUUCUGCUUUCUCAAAAAAAUCUUAAUACCAAUUGGAAAGAGGGGCUAGGCCUUGGUUCAAGAAGGUAUUCAAAGAAGGAACUUAAUGAGGUUCAGGAACUGUGGGCUGAGUUUUUUACAGUUGAAUGUCUAUAAUCAGAUAGUUGAUAGACUUUAAUGGCCACUACAAGCUUUUUAGUGGUAAGGACGAGAGCGAAGACUGAGGCAGCUGACUUGUUACUACCUAUUGAUUUCAUAAUUUUUAGUGUUGACAUGUAAUUUGAGAAGAAGAAUUAUGGGUUGUAAUACAUUUAGUUUUAAUGUACAUUGAUUAAUUCCCAUUUAAGUUUAAUUAGUGCUAUUGACUUUGAGCAUU